Molecule: small RNA, 97 nt
Filed under: Polaribacter sp. KT 15
Lineage: Bacteria; Pseudomonadati; Bacteroidota; Flavobacteriia; Flavobacteriales; Flavobacteriaceae
Description: Flavo-1 RNA
Rfam family: Flavo-1 RNA
Source: RNAcentral
UUUUAGCCCUGAUUGAAGCGGCAUCCUUUUUAUUAUUAAUUUGUGAAGCUAUGAAUAAAUUAAUAAUAAAAAGAUAUAGCAGAAAGCAGGAAAUUGC